AUGGACAGUCUGGGGACCAUCAAGGUAGCGAAGACAGGUGAGCUAUGAAACUAUGACGAGUACGAGUCUAUAUUAUUGAAGAAUGGCUGGGACCCUGGGGAAGAGGGACUGGACAUGACUCACCAGAAUCUCCUUCUGCUGAUAGACUGUCCCCUGAACUGAACUGAACUACUUUGGUUUAUACACACACACCAAGAAUGUGCUGGCUGAAGUGAACCCCCAGACUUGAAUUCCAGGAAACUUUCACCACAUUUGUGAACUCAUGGUUCAGCUCUUAACAAAAACUAAGUGUCCAAACAGCUGAUGGCCUCAAGAAUCCAGUGUGAGAACACAUCCAAUUUGAAUGUAUGAAAAUUGUCAUAUCUUUCUCCAUCCCAGUGAUGUGUGAGACUUGGUGGCCAGAAAUGACCCCAUUGUUUUUGUGAUGGGUGCAAAUACCCAAGUCAGUGUGCACUAUUCGCAGAAUAUGGUGUCCAUCACCAAAAAAUAACCUAUCUGCUGCCAUCAAGUGUGCAAAACUGACCAGAAUGCUUCAAGUAUGUGUAGUAGUUUAACAAAAGACCCUUCUUCGAAAACACACACUAUUCACAUAGCAUAAUUUGAACCACUUAGUAAGUCACUGUUCGGGAAUGCCAUUCUUACAAUAAGACUGUGCAGUUUUGGGAAAGCAAGGACAUACAUAUCCCAUUUGAUUACCCUAUAAAUGAAGUUCGAACAAAAAUUUCUUCAACUUGAAAAUCAAUGGAAUAAUAAACCCAUUUUCUCUGAAAAUGAAUAUAUUCAUUCUAUAUCUACAGCAUCUUCAAUGAACCUGCAACCUAAAAAUGAAAAUCAAUACUGCCUCAGAUACUAAUACCCUAAUUGAUACUAAAAAAAAAAAAAAAACACCUGAUCAUAGGUUGUAAUAGACAAAACUGCUACAAACCUACAUAGGAUAAAAGGUAUUAAAGUGGACGAAAACACAGAAAUAAGAUCUUAAAACUAUUACCAUAUACACCUAGCUAUUUCUUCCCGAAAAAAAACAAAACAAAAAAAAACUUGCAAGCUUCAAAAUGCCUACAUUUCACAUCCUCCAGGCUGAACAUAAAAUAUUUCACCACUGCAGAAAAAUAUAUCCUUUACCAAGCUACCUUCACCGUCUUUCCCCAAAACAACAUGUCUGGGACUCUAUUUCUCCCGAUAUCAAUCUCUCAAGGUACCCAGGUUACACACCAGAACUCUACACCGCGGAGCACUUAGAGCAUAGGAGGGAGGGCCCAUCUCCCGCCCCGCCUGCGACUCCCACAGCACUCCACCCGGGGAAGCCGAAGCGCGGGGCUCACGGGAUCCCCAACGAGUUCCGCUUGAUGGCAGUAUUGCUCCACGUACACCAACCGGCCCUUCCCCCAGGGCCUCUCCCUCCGCCCCUCGCCGAAGAAAAAAGGCCAAGUCCUGGCCACGGGCUCCACCAUGGCGGCUCCCACGUCCCGUCCCGCCCCGCAGCUCUGCUCUCGUGGGGGAGCCCACUCCCGCUUCUGAGGCUGCCUGGCUCGGAGCCUCGUCCCCUGUGGCUCCACGUAGCCUGCCGAAAAGCAAGGGCGAGGCCCGGCAGGUUCAGCGAGCCGCCCGGCAGUGGCCAUAAGCCCCUCCGGGCCUCCAUCUUUACCCGCGCAGCUCUGCAGGACGCCUCAGGAGACACACUGGUCCGCUCGAGGGCCCAGAGCCCCAGCCACCCCUAGCCAGUCGGUGCCCGAUCCUCCGUCCGGACUCCCCCAGAGGCCAGCGGGACCCUGAGGCCUGCAGCGGCCAGACACAAAGGUCGGCGGAGGCGGUAACACGGCCACCGGCCGUGGGGUCGGCAGUGAGGUCCGCCUCCAACGGCCCGAGGACGGAGGGGUCCCGAGCACCGGGCCCACGGCCCGCGGCCUCUCCUCACGGCCGUCCCGCCCCUCCGCCCACAAACGGGAUUCCGACGUGGACCCUGGCCCACACGGGUCAGUGCGGAGGGCAGCCGGCAGCCGCACCAGGGUCGCCAAAGUGCCCCGGGCCUGGCCCAGGCUGCGUCUCGGGACCGCUCCCACGGGAGGGGGCAGGCCAGGGACGGGCCAGCCCCACGUGGGCCCCUGCUC
Molecule: RNA transcript, 2108 nt
Organism: Mirounga angustirostris (Northern elephant seal)
Lineage: Eukaryota; Metazoa; Chordata; Mammalia; Carnivora; Phocidae
Gene name: ribosomal RNA small subunit methyltransferase NEP1-like
Exons: 2
Source: RefSeq, a predicted model, not a curated record